GAAAAUUGCAGAAAUGGGGGCUCCUUUGAGGACAAAGAAAGCAUUUCGGAUCAUCUUUUCUCUCAGUGAAGCAGCCAUCCUUUGGACUGAAGGGAGCUCCUAAUUCUUCUCUUUUC
RNAcentral lists this microRNA precursor (116 nucleotides) under Amborella trichopoda. RNAcentral's name for it is "miR319b stem-loop (atr-MIR319b)". Its record names the gene atr-MIR319b. The stretch from base 9 to 108 matches the Rfam family "MIR319 microRNA precursor family". Lineage: Eukaryota; Viridiplantae; Streptophyta; Magnoliopsida; Amborellales; Amborellaceae. The record is from miRBase by way of RNAcentral.